GACGAACGCUGGCGGCGUGCUUAACACAUGCAAGUCGAACGAUGAACCCGGAGCUUGCUCUGGGGGAUUAGUGGCGAACGGGUGAGUAACACGUGAGUAACCUGCCCUGGACUCUGGGAUAAGCGUUGGAAACGACGUCUAAUACCGGAUAGGACCUUGGGUCGCAUGAUCUGGGGUGGAAAGUUUUUUCGGUCUGGGAUGGACUCGCGGCCUAUCAGCUUGUUGGUGAGGUAAUGGCUCACCAAGGCGUCGACGGGUAGCCGGCCUGAGAGGGUGACCGGCCACACUGGGAGUGAGACACGGCCCAGACUCCUACGGGAGGCAGCAGUGGGGAAUAGUGCACAAUGGGCGAAAGCCUGAUGCAGCAACGCCGCGUGCGGGAUGACGGCCUUCGGGUUGUAAACCGCUUUUAGUAGGGAAGAAGGGCUUCGGCUUGACGGUACCUGCAGAAAAAGGACCGGCUAACUACGUG
This 472-nucleotide ribosomal RNA is filed under the name uncultured bacterium. RNAcentral describes it as "partial 16S ribosomal RNA". It matches the Rfam family "Bacterial small subunit ribosomal RNA", at positions 28 to 507 of the family's 1533-position model. The record is from RNAcentral.